GGAUCCAGACUUUGAUCAUGGCUCAGGAUGAACGCUAGCUACAGGCUUAACACAUGCAAGUCGAGGGGCAGCAUGAACUUAGCUUGCUAAGUUUGAUGGCGACCGGCGCACGGGUGAGUAACACGUAUCCAACCUUCCGUUUACUCAGGGAUAGCCUUUCGAAAGAAAGAUUAAUACCUGAUAGUAUGGUGAGAUUGCAUGAUAGCACCAUUAAAGAUUUAUUGGUAAACGAUGGGGAUGCGUUCCAUUAGGUAGUAGGCGGGGUAACGGCCCACCUAGCCGACGAUGGAUAGGGGUUCUGAGAGGAAGGUCCCCCACAUUGGAACUGAGACACGGUCCAAACUCCUACGGGAGGCAGCAGUGAGGAAUAUUGGUCAAUGGGCGAGAGCCUGAACCAGCCAAGUAGCGUGAAGGAUGAAGGUCCUACGGAUUGUAAACUUCUUUUAUACGGGAAUAAAGUAUCCUACGUGUAGGAUUUUGUAUGUACCGUAUGAAUAAGCAUCGGCUAACUCCGUGCCAGCAGCCGCGGUAAUACGGAGGAUGCGAGCGUUAUCCGGAUUUAUUGGGUUUAAAGGGAGCGCAGACGGGAGAUUAAGUCAGUUGUGAAAGUUUGCGGCUCAACCGUAAAAUUGCAGUUGAUACUGGUUUCCUUGAGUGCAGUUGAGGCAGGCGGAAUUCGUGGUGUAGCGGUGAAAUGCUUAGAUAUCACGAAGAACCCCGAUUGCGAAGGCAGCUUGCUAAACUGUAACUGACGUUCAUGCUCGAAAGUGUGGGUAUCAAACAGGAUUAGAUACCCUGGUAGUCCACACGGUAAACGAUGGAUACUCGCUGUUGGCGAUAUACUGUCAGCGGCCAAGCGAAAGCAUUAAGUAUCCCACCUGGGGAGUACGCCGGCAACGGUGCAACUCAAAGGAAUUGACGG
This 922-nucleotide ribosomal RNA is filed under the name uncultured Bacteroidota bacterium. RNAcentral's name for it is "bacterial SSU rRNA". It matches the Rfam family "Bacterial small subunit ribosomal RNA", at positions 1 to 916 of the family's 1533-position model. Lineage: Bacteria; Pseudomonadati; Bacteroidota. The record is from RNAcentral.